AUCUCUCAUUCUCUUCCGUCUCUCAUUCGCUUCUGUCAUGUCUGAAAUUCAUAGGUUUCAGAGAUCUCAAAUUUCAGAUCAAGCCGACCUAUUUAUUUUUCGCCUUAGGGUUUCAAGGUUUACCUACAAAAGUUGUUUUAGGGUUCAGUCUCUCUUAUGUCGUUUCCAAAAACUCUCAAGAGCAGCAACACAGAGAAGAAGAAAGGCCCUAAAAUUCUCAAUUCCUUGGUUUUUGAUUUGAGAGAUCGUGAAGAGGAAUGACGCUUUCCUCGUCAAAGAGUUUGGAAAUAGAAAUCAAAUGGUUCAGUUCAGAAAGAACCUAAUAAUCUAUACAACGUUAACACCUUCAAACACUUUGAGUUAGCUACUGCAAAGUCUAUUUCAGUUCAAGCUGGAAAAGAUUCAGGUGUUGUUCUGGCUACUAUCAAGACUAACAAACAGAAGUACCAUUCAGCUUUGGUGCACAAAACUGUCAUGGAGCUAGGAAACAUACCUCUUCUUGUUGUAUACUGAAAUUCAGGAAAAUCUGUCUGAAAGAGUAUUAGAGCUUCUUGCGUUGCCCGGGGAUGAUGUUCUGUGGAUGCUCCUUGAUACUUAAAUUUGUGAUUUUAUUAGUUGACAGCUGAAGUUUGGGAUUAGUUUUUGAUUGUUUACUUUGUGUUUUGUUUUAGGCUGUGGCUCUAGACUAAGCGGAGAAACAUAAUCUGAGAGUGGACACCAAUGGAUUGGUUUACACAUAUCUGAUUCAAUGCUAGUGAAACAAUAUUGCGCUGGAGCGGGAAGUAGAUGGUGAUCUUUUGCUAAGCGAUAUGGGUCAGGACUUGGGUUUCAUGGAUGGAGUUAUUAAUGGUGUUAUUAGCAUCUCAGCGGUGCAGACAGUUCCUCUCAUAAUCCAAGACUGACAUUGAAGGCCUUCUUUGGAUCACUAUAUCGGUGUUUACCUGAAGUGAUCCUCUUCGAACACCAAGUACAUAGACUAUACCUCUCCGAUGCUAAAUAUGUAGGAGGUGAUUCCCAUAUUGCGGCUGCUUCACCGGUGUAUAUAAAUCUUUUCGUACUUUCAUAUACUGGACGCUGGGAAUUCGUCUCGUAUUGCCCUUCAAUUGGUUAAGGUUCUUCUUGACCAGUUCUUUAUUUUCCUUAUAUGACAAGUGGUAACUCAUGUUGCCCUUGCAAUUGAAGUUCCCCGGGGUUAGCUUAACAAGAAGGAUCCCAUGGGCUGCUACUGUACUUCAGGUUCCGCAGUUUGUCUUGGGACUUUCACACUAUUACUGAUUAACUAAAUAAUAUUUCUUUUUGGCUUAGAAAUAUCCUCACAUGUAUCUCGUUGCUUUAUCCUUUAAAGAUCUUAAUCUGCUCAUCUUUCUACAUUUUUAAUGGGAGGAGGCGGAUCCUUUUCAGCUGGUGGCCCGGGAAAGGGAUGCACUCACGGCUGUGUAAGUCUAAAUUUGUGUUUCCUUAUAUGUUUCUGGUGUAUCAUAGUUUCUCUGAAGCAUUAUCAGUCUGUUGUCGUUUAUUUAUUAAUGAUGGCAAAUUUUUUUUACAUGGAUUCUGAUGUAACUAGUUCUGAAUAGAGUAUCACCAGAUUCAGUCAUUUUCUGUAUUCAGCAGCAUCUACACUUGACACUGGCCUAUUUGGAAUUCAUGCAUCUACUGUGAGCGGUGUACCAUUUAUGACUUUACUACAUAUUUUAGCAUAACCAAAAAGAAGUUUUGCAGACACGGUUGUAUAAUCCAAUGACUAUUUAAAUAUUCUACAAUCUUUCCACUAAAAAAACAUUAUUAAUUUCUAGUCCAAGGUAUCAAACGUAGAAAUAUGCAUCGGCAAAAAACUUCUCAGAACAUGGGACAUACUUGCUGAGAGGUGUCUAUUACAAGAAUAUGAAAUGGCAAGCAGCAAUCAAGGUGGACAAGAAACAAAUCCAUAACCCAUUUGUAUGACAGGAAUAUAGGGAGUGUCAGCUCUGCAUCCCUGCACCACUGUCUACUAGGGUGGCGCAUUACGACCUGCUGAACUUAAUGAACUUUUUUCAACUCCACCAGAAAGUCCUAGGAGUAAAGCUCCACAUAAGGAAUCUGCAGAGAAGACUGCAUUAGGAGAAUAAUCCUUUGAUGGAUUCUUGGCACAGUGGACCCUUAUGACAUUGUUAGAUCCGGUUAAAAGUGUAGCCAAUUUGGUUUACAUCGGAUACUAAGGAAACAUUGCCUUUGUCCUGCAUAUAACCAGACGAAGAAGGUUAGAUCGCAAGAAGCAACAAUCAGAUAGAAAUGUUUUCCAGUACUUCAUCUUUGGACCUAAAAGGUGUUGGGAAGUCAUCAUUUAUCAACUCUCUACUCGGAAGGUAUGGUACUUGUUGAAGUUAUUGAUUAAAUAAACUUACAGAGUGAUAUCAAACCUUGUAGAAUCACACUGAAUAAGAUCCUUAUGUUAUGAAUAAGAUCUUUUGAUGCCACA
Long non-coding RNA from Papaver somniferum (opium poppy), 2455 nucleotides. RefSeq lists it as uncharacterized. Lineage: Eukaryota; Viridiplantae; Streptophyta; Magnoliopsida; Ranunculales; Papaveraceae. The record is from RefSeq and is a predicted model, not a curated record. The transcript is spliced from 12 exons.